This 253-nucleotide ribosomal RNA is filed under the name uncultured bacterium. RNAcentral's name for it is "partial 16S ribosomal RNA". It matches the Rfam family "Bacterial small subunit ribosomal RNA", at positions 524 to 776 of the family's 1533-position model. The record is from RNAcentral.
UACGUAGGGUGCAAGCGUUGUCCGGAAUUAUUGGGCGUAAAGAGCUCGUAGGCGGUUCGUCGCGUCGGCUGUGAAAUCCCGAGGCUCAACCUCGGGUCUGCAGUCGAUACGGGCGGACUGGAGUACUGCAGGGGAGACUGGAAUUCCUGGUGUAGCGGUGAAAUGCGCAGAUAUCAGGAGGAACACCGGUGGCGAAGGCGGGUCUCUGGGCAGUUACUGACGCUGAGGCGCGAAAGCGUGGGGAGCGAACAGG